This 497-nucleotide ribosomal RNA is filed under the name uncultured bacterium. RNAcentral describes it as "partial 16S ribosomal RNA". It matches the Rfam family "Bacterial small subunit ribosomal RNA", at positions 28 to 507 of the family's 1533-position model. The record is from RNAcentral.
GAUGAACGCUGGCGGCGUGCCUAAUAUAUGCAAGUCGAGCGAACGGACGAGAAGCUUGCUUCUCUGAUGUUAGCGGCGGACGGGUGAGUAACACGUGGAUAACCUACCUAUAAGACUGGGAUAACUUCGGGAAACCGGAGCUAAUACCGGAUAAUAUUUUGAACCGCAUGGUUCAAAAGUGAAAGACGGUCUUGCUGUCACUUAUGGAUGGAUCCGCGCUGCAUUAGCUAGUUGGUAAGGUAACGGCUUACCAAGGCAACGAUGCAUAGCCGACCUGAGAGGGUGAUCGGCCACACUGGAACUGAGACACGGUCCAGACUCCUACGGGAGGCAGCAGUAGGGAAUCUUCCGCAAUGGGCGAAAGCCUGACGGAGCAACGCCGCGUGAGUGAUGAAGGUCUUCGGAUCGUAAAACUCUGUUAUUAGGGAAGAACAUAUGUGUAAGUAACUGUGCACAUCUUGACGGUACCUAAUCAGAAAGCCACGGCUAACUACGUG